AAAAAUUUAGUUAAUUUAUAACAUUAGUUUGUCAAACUAAAAUAAUCAAUUGAUAAUUUUUA
Molecule: transfer RNA, 62 nt
Filed under: Cucujoidea sp. 7 KM-2017
Lineage: Eukaryota; Metazoa; Arthropoda; Insecta; Coleoptera
Description: tRNA-Asp
Source: RNAcentral